AAGUCGUAACAAGGUUUCCUCUAUAGAAUACCUAUUGAAGCCUUGAACCUAAAGUCUAUUUUAUAGGCAACAUCUUUACUGUGCUUGGAGACCUUAAAGGUAACAAGCAGCUGUUAAACCAGCUCACAGAUCAAACAAAGGUGGUUCUCUAGCCCUUACGCUGUUGAAUUAAAAUAUGACCGGCCCACUGUUGGAAAAACAGUAAUUAUUGUGUUCCGUAGGUGAACCUGCGGAAGGAUCAUUACAGAGAAAAUGCCCUUUGGGGUAUAUCUCCCACCCUUUGUUUACAAUACUUUGUUG
RNAcentral lists this unclassified non-coding RNA (300 nucleotides) under Helotiales sp. RNAcentral's name for it is "partial contains small subunit ribosomal RNA and internal transcribed spacer 1". The record is from RNAcentral. Lineage: Eukaryota; Fungi; Ascomycota; Leotiomycetes; Helotiales.